UAGUCCACGCCCUAAACGAUGAAUGUUAGUCGUCGGGUAGCUAGUCUAUUCGGUGAUGCAGCUAACGCAUUAAACAUUCCGCCUGGGGAGUACGGUCGCAAGAUUAAAACUCAAAGGAAUAGACGGGGACCCGCACAAGUGGUGGAGCAUGUGGUUUAAUUCGAAGAUACGCGAAGAACCUUACCUAGCCUUGACAUAUUUAAGAACACUUUAGAGAUAGAGUGGUGCCUUCGGGAGCUUUUAUACAGGUGCUGCACGGCUGUCGUCAGCUCGUGUCGUGAGAUGUUGGGUUAAGUCCCGCAACGAGCGCAACGCUCGCUGUUAGUUGCCAUCAUUAAGUUGGGUACUCUAGCGGAACUGCCGUCGAUAAGACGGAGGAAGGUGGGGAUGACGUCAAGUCCUCAUGGCCCUUACGAGCCGGGCUACACACGUGCUACAAUGGUGCUGACAAUGGGUUGCGACGCAGUGAUGCUGAGCUAAUCUCUAAAAGGCA
Molecule: ribosomal RNA, 493 nt
Filed under: uncultured bacterium
Lineage: Bacteria
Description: bacterial SSU rRNA
Rfam family: Bacterial small subunit ribosomal RNA
Source: RNAcentral